GGGCCCGCACAAGCAGUGGAGUAUGUGGUUUAAUUCGAUGCAACGCGAAGAACCUUACCGGGGCUUGACAUCCCGCGACGACCCGGGAGACCGGGAGUCCCUUCACAGGGCGCGGAGACAGGUGGUGCAUGGUUGUCGUCAGCUCGUGUCGUGAGAUGUUGGGUUAAGUCCCGCAACGAGCGCAACCCUUAUCGCCGGUUGCCAUCAUUAGGUUGGGCACUUUGGCGAGACUGCCGGUGACAAAUCGGAGGAAGGUGGGGAUGACGUCAAAUCAUCAUGCCCUUUAUGUCCCGGGCUACACACGUACUACAAUGGCUGCCACAACGGGAGGCGAAGCCGCGAGGCGGAGCGAAUCCCCAAAAGCAGCCCCAGUUCGGAUUGCAGGCUGCAACCCGCCUGCAUGAAGUCGGAAUUGCUAGUAAUGGCAGGUCAGCAUACUGCCGUGAAUACGUUCCCGGGCCUU
Molecule: ribosomal RNA, 463 nt
Filed under: uncultured bacterium
Lineage: Bacteria
Description: bacterial SSU rRNA
Rfam family: Bacterial small subunit ribosomal RNA
Source: RNAcentral